RNAcentral lists this ribosomal RNA (441 nucleotides) under uncultured Bacillota bacterium. RNAcentral's name for it is "bacterial SSU rRNA". It matches the Rfam family "Bacterial small subunit ribosomal RNA", at positions 917 to 1359 of the family's 1533-position model. Lineage: Bacteria; Bacillati; Bacillota. The record is from RNAcentral.
GGGCCCGCACAAGCAGUGGAGUAUGUGGUUUAAUUCGAAGCAACGCGAAGAACCUUACCGGGGCUUGACAUCCCUAGAACCCCCAAGAAAUUGGGGGGCGCCCUCGGGAACUAGGAGACAGGUGGUGCAUGGUUGUCGUCAGCUCGUGUCGUGAGAUGUUGGGUUAAGUCCCGCAACGAGCGCAACCCUUAUUGUCAGUUGCCAGCAUUAAGUUGGGCUCUCUGACGAGACUGCCGUUGACAAAACGGAGGAAGGCGGGGACGAGGUCAAAUCAUCAUGCCCCUUAUGUCCCGGGCUACACACGUACUACAAUGGCCGACACAAAAAGAAGCGAUGGAGCGAUCCGGAGCAAAUCUCAAAAAGACGGCCUCAGUUCAGAUCGUAGGCUGAAACUCGCCUGCGUGAAGUAGGAAUUGCUAGUAAUCGCGAAUCAGCAUGUCG